This 254-nucleotide ribosomal RNA is filed under the name uncultured bacterium. Its description in RNAcentral is "partial 16S ribosomal RNA". It matches the Rfam family "Bacterial small subunit ribosomal RNA", at positions 524 to 776 of the family's 1533-position model. The record is from RNAcentral.
UACGAGUGCUUCGAGCGUUAUCCGGAAUCAUUGGGCGUAAAGGGUGUGUAGGCGGUUAUGUUAGUCUCACGUUAAAUUCUCCGGCUCAACUGGAGAGCUGCAUGGGAAACGGCAUGACUUAGAGGAUGGUAGGGGUCUUCGGAACUCAUAGUGUAGCGGUGAAAUGCGUUGAUAUUAUGGGGAACACCAAAAGCGAAGGCAGAAGACUGGACCACUCCUGACGCUGAAACACGAAAGCGUGGGUCGCGAAUGGG